This 239-nucleotide long non-coding RNA is filed under the name Lathyrus oleraceus (garden pea). Its description in RNAcentral is "Pisum sativum (pea) long non-coding RNA (PSAT_LNC041640)". Lineage: Eukaryota; Viridiplantae; Streptophyta; Magnoliopsida; Fabales; Fabaceae. The record is from RNAcentral.
UACUUAACAUGACAUUAUAUUCUAUAAUGCUUAUUAUAUCGAUGAGGAACUCACCCUUACAACUAUUUUUCAGGUAACGAGCAAUGAGUUGAGUAGAAGCUAAUACUUGGAGUCUAGUGUAGUCUCCUUAGUGGGUCAUGCUCUGAUAGAUGUAACAUCGGGAUGGGAUGUUUUAACUUGUUUUGAAUGUUUUAUUGAUUGGUUGUGAACCAUUUUCCAUGUAAUAUGUUACAUGUUUU